UACGUAGGUGGCAAGCGUUGUCCGGAUUUAUUGGGUUUAAAGGGUGCGUAGGCGGCCUUAUAAGUCAGUGCUGAAAUAUCCCGGCUUAACCGGGAGGGUGGCAUUGAUACUGUAGGGCUUGAGUAAAGUUGAGGUAGGCGGAAUUGACGGUGUAGCGGUGAAAUGCUUAGAUAUCGUCAAGAACACCGAUAGUGUAGACAGCUUACUAAGCUUUAACUGACGCUGAGGCACGAAAGUGUGGGGAUCAAACAGG
This 253-nucleotide ribosomal RNA is filed under the name uncultured bacterium. RNAcentral describes it as "partial 16S ribosomal RNA". It matches the Rfam family "Bacterial small subunit ribosomal RNA", at positions 524 to 776 of the family's 1533-position model. The record is from RNAcentral.